Molecule: ribosomal RNA, 233 nt
Filed under: uncultured bacterium
Lineage: Bacteria
Description: partial 16S ribosomal RNA
Rfam family: Bacterial small subunit ribosomal RNA
Source: RNAcentral
AGGCAGUGAUGUGAAGCAAAUCGCACCAAAGCCGGUCCCAGUUCGGAUAAGAGGCUGAAACUCGCCUCUUUGAAGUCGGAAUCGCUAGUAAUCGCAGAUCAGCAUGUUGCGGUGAAUACGUUCCCGGGUCUUGUACACACCGCCCGUCAAACCAUGAGAGUCACCAACACCGAAGUCCGUUUUGGCGGCCUAAGGUGGGGGAGAUGAUUGGGGUUAAGUCGUAACAAGGUACC